UGGCCGCUGGGGGCGCGGCCGGACCCGGGCGGAGCGCCCGUCCCCGCGGCCCUCCGUGCAGGGCAGCCACCAGACCUCGGACUUGCUGAUACUCACAAGUUGCACGGCUGUCGCAGUCUGGCUCGGGAGUGCUCCCGUCAGCACGAAGGGGACCCCGCGUGUCAGCGCGGCCCGCUCUCCCCUGCGGCCCUGGGUGCACCCAGCCCUCCCGCGCCGCCGCGUCCUGCCGCCCGGGGCUCCGCUCUCGGCGCAGGCUGGGUGUGAUCCGCGUGUCAGCCGCGGGGGCGCGGCAGCGAGCCUGGCGUGCGAACCCCGUGCAGACGGGAGUGCAAGCCUCGGCCGCGUGGCGUCUCACACUCGGAGUCGCUGCGCUCUCGGCAGAGCGGGAGCCUCAUUUACACCCACUCAGCCGAGUGCCUGUGUGCACGCGCGUGUGCGUGCGCAUGUGGCUUCCGCCUCUCCCGUCCGUGCCUGCGCUGCCAGCCUUCGGCUUCCUUCCUUCUUCUGCCCAGGGGCUGCGCUGUCUCAGCUGACCUGCGUUCCAGUCUCUCCAUUCCACCCAUUCUAAUCUGUUCCUCUCAGUUACAGUAAUUUCCAAAGUGUCCAUUUCAUUCUCCCAAUAUCCUCCUCUCUAUCGGUCUUUUCCCAUGAGCUUUUGUGUUCAUAUUUUCUUUCAGUCUUUUGUGUGUGGCUUCCUUUCAUUCCUUAGAGAUAUUUGGUAUUUGUCUCCCUGGGCACGGUUGUGUUCCCUAUAAUCCCGGCUUUUCAGGAGGCUGAGGCAGGAGGAUCACAAAUUCAGGCCAACCUAGGGAAUUUAGAUAGAUCAUGUUUCAAAAGUGAAAUUAAAGUCUGGAGGUGAGCUCCGUGUUAGAGUGCUCGCUUCAUGUGUGCAAGGAUUCAGUCACCAGGACGGGAAAAAAUCCUAAUAAGUCAGUGUUUGGGCUUCGUUCUGGACAUUUCUGUUCAUUACCGUUCCCUCUUGUGUAUUUUUCUUCGCAUCUCCCCAUGGCUCUUGACCCUGUUGGAAACGGUUGUGUAAAAUAACACGGUGCUGCCGCUCUGGGCAGCAGCUCCCCCGGCCUCUGCAGGGUGCGGUGCCUGGAGCAGCCGGGGCGAAUCUUCAGAGAGGAGGCCCGAAGUGCGACCCGAACACGCUUACGUAACACAAGCGCCACCGCUAUGAUUAAACCCGAAUGCUGAGGUUUUAGUCUGGAAGAAACAACUCACACCUGAGCACCCUGUGUCUUAGAAGAAGAACAAUGCUCGUGCCACAGGUGCCCACCGCUGGCUGCACACGCCCGCGCCCACUGUGUGAAGUCUGUGCUUCCUGCGCGUGGCCCUGCAGGCCGGACUCUGUGGGCUGGUGGCCAGCUCGGGACUGGACAGAGGUUUCUGAAGCCCCAGAUGCUACAGUUGCUUGGCCCAGGCAGCGGGCGCCUGGCCUGAGCCCUGGCCUCGUGGUGCAGGCCUCCGGGGCAGGCAGGAGGGCUGUGUGGAGCUCGUGCCGGCUUGCGCUUGCUCGGCUGCCAGCUGCCCAGCUGCUGUCCACGGUGCCGUGCCACAGGAAGGCAGGGAGAAGGGGCUCGGGCAGGCUGGGGACGGCCGGCCGGCUGCUCUUACCUGUGCUCCAGUACAGGCUGCCAACGGCCUCGAGCCUCCACAGAGCUCCGCAAAGCCGGCUCUCACCUUGUUUGCCAGUUUUACCGAUGCUUUUCUGGAGAAGGAACUGGAGAUCCCACUGCAGUUUUUGCCGAUGUCCUCACUGGCUUGGAGUUUAUGUUUAGGACCAGGAGUGGUUAACUUUACAGCAUGGUAUUGGCCAAGCUGGGCUCGGUCUCCUGCAUGGACAGCCGGCUCUGCUAACCUACUGUGGCUCCCGCUGUCCCCUGCCGACCUAUGCUGGCCUCAGCCUGGGGACCGGAAGGCCAUGGGCAGUGCUUCCACCUGGCUGCUCUCAAGACUUUGGUUGCUCUGGUUUCCUGCCUGGCGUGUCCUGCCUUGCAGGAGAGGCUGUGACUUUUAGAUCUCAAUACUGCAGUGUGAACAGCUCCAAGGGUGAACUUUCUACUAUGUGAACAGCAAAGUUUGAAAAAAGUCUCCUCGGUGUUCGUAUCCUUGCUCCGCAGUCAAACCCAGAGCCUGACUUGAGAACCCUGCAGGGGCCGGGAGCGAGUCACGCGUCGCGUCUCUCUGUGGACACAAAGGGUGACGCUUCCAUCUCAGUGCCGCUCGCCCAGAUGAUGUACAGCGCUGGAGUGCACGCAAACAUUCGCCGCUGUGCUUUAUUUUUGCGCGUUAUUUGUGUAAAAUAUCAUGACGGUGGCUACAGAGAAAGUUACUGCCAGUGGCGGUACAGCUGGGAGGAAACCUGAGGUCCAUCCAUGAUGGUCAGAGAAAUCACUGCGGACCUUGUUAAAAUCCUGGGGCAAUGAAUUUAUAUGUGUAAUUUUUGGGCCUCAGAACCAAUUCUUUGGCUUUCCAUUAUUUCUUAUGGGAAGAAUAUGUUCAGUUCUCCAGCUUUUUGGUGAUUGAACAUGAAUUUGGAAGGAACUCUACCUGUACGUUAGACCAUUUGUAUUUUACUUAGGUCCCUAAGAAUUUGUUUGUUGGUUUUCAAUCUCUUUUCUCUUUGCUCUUUCAAUGGAAUUACCUAUUAAAAUUUCGUUUUAUCUA
This is a long non-coding RNA of Chinchilla lanigera (long-tailed chinchilla), 2673 nucleotides long. RefSeq lists it as uncharacterized. The record is from RefSeq and is a predicted model, not a curated record. The transcript has 2 exons. Lineage: Eukaryota; Metazoa; Chordata; Mammalia; Rodentia; Chinchillidae.